CGGCGGACGGGUGAGUAAUGUAUGGGGAUCUGCCUGAUGGCGGGGGAUAACUACUGGAAACGGUAGCUAAUACCGCAUAACGUCGCAAGACCAAAGAGGGGGACCUUCGGGCCUCGCGCCAUCAGAUGAACCCAUAUGGGAUUAGCUUGUAGGUAAGGUAACGGCUUACCUAGGCGACGAUCCCUAGCUGGUCUGAGAGGAUGACCAGCCACACUGGAACUGAGACACGGUCCAG
RNAcentral lists this ribosomal RNA (235 nucleotides) under uncultured bacterium. RNAcentral's name for it is "partial 16S ribosomal RNA". It matches the Rfam family "Bacterial small subunit ribosomal RNA", at positions 96 to 334 of the family's 1533-position model. The record is from RNAcentral.